CAAUAGCGUAUAUUAAAGUUGUUGCAGUUAAAAAGCUCGUAGUUGGAUUUCUGGUCGGAAGCUCCUGUCCUCUGAUGAGCGUACAAGUGCGUCCUACCAUCCUUCUGUUAACCUUUAAGGCUUUCGCGGCUUUCUAGGGGCUCAGAUAUUUUACCUUGAGAAAAUUAGAGUGUUUCAGGCAGGCUAGCGCCGGAAUACAUUAGCAUGGAAUAAUGGAAUAGGACUUUUGCCCCUUCUGUUGGUCAUGAGGCUCGAGUAAUGAUUAAUAGGGAUAGUUGGGGGCAUUAGUACUUAACUGUCAGAGGUGAAAUUCUCGGAUUUGUUAAAGACUAACUUAUGCGAAAGCAUUUGCCAAGGAUGUUUUCAUUAA
RNAcentral lists this ribosomal RNA (370 nucleotides) under uncultured eukaryote. RNAcentral's name for it is "partial 18S ribosomal RNA". It matches the Rfam family "Eukaryotic small subunit ribosomal RNA", at positions 592 to 976 of the family's 1831-position model. The record is from RNAcentral.